Enterocytozoon bieneusi H348 is the source of this 1296-nucleotide ribosomal RNA. It matches the Rfam family "Eukaryotic large subunit ribosomal RNA", at positions 1755 to 3401 of the family's 3401-position model. NCBI's taxonomy places the organism in Eukaryota, Fungi, Microsporidia, Enterocytozoonidae. The record is from Rfam.
CGGUGAGAUUUCCGGGACACCCAGAUCUUAUGAGCGUCACGCUGAGACUAAGAACGAGUUGGGCGGUGAAAAUGAAGGAACAUCCUCGUACCGAACCGCAACAGGACUCCUAGGUGAGAAGCCUAAGGCAUAAUUGUAAUGUGAGCAAGGGAAAUCGGCAAAAUGGAUGAAAAACCUCGGGAUAAUCAUUGGCUCUAGCAUGCUAGAACUGGGCUUACAAGGGGAAUCUGACUGUUUAAUAAAAACAUAGCUUUGUGUGUACGCAAAGUGAAUUCUGCCCAGUGCUUGGGACGUUAAGGAAGUAAUUUUAAGUACGCACCUGUAAACGGCGGGAGUAACUAUGACUCUCUUAAGGUAGCCAAAUGCCUCGUCGCCUAAUUAGCGACGCGCAUGAAUGGAGCAACGAGAUUCCCACUGUCCCUGCUCACAGAUUUGCGAACCUACAGCCAAGGGAACGGGCUUGGGACAUGCAGCGGGGAAAGAAGACCCUGUUGAGCUUGACUCUAGCCAAGCACAGGCCUCUGUGACUAUAUCGUAGCGAGGUGGGAGAAAUGUGUGAGACCACUGACAUAGUCGGCGGGGGCACUCGCAAAGCUUGGUGGGGAGUUUGGCUGGGGCGGCACGACUACUAAAACAUAACGUAGACGUCCAAAGGUAAGCUCCGAGGGGAUGGAAACCACUCCGAGAGUAUAAGGGCAAAAGCUUGCUUUAGUUAUUAAUGUAAAUUAAUAAUACUGGAAACAGGGGCCUAGAGAUCCUCUAUGAAACUAAGCAUAGAGGUGACGGAAAAGUUACCACAGGGAUAACUGGCUUGUGGCGGCCGAGCGUCCAUAGCGACGCCGCUUUUUGAUUCUUCGAUGUCGGCUCUUCCGAGCAUGGUGGAGUAUCAGCCACCAAGUGUGUGAUUGUUCACCAACUAACAGGGAACGUGAGCUGGGUUUAGACCGUCCCGAGGACAGGUUAGUUUUACCCUACUGCAUCGCGUCCAAGAGUAGGUCGGGGCAGUACAAAAGGAAAUGCCGAUCAGAACCCUGGUGAAACUUUCGUCUGUUAAAGGCCCAAAUGUACCUACGUUCUUCUUAAAUAACUGAAAGCCCCAAACUAGAAUUGAGUAUUUAGGAAGCAAAGAUUUAAAACUACUUUGUAGGGAUGAAGGUGUACAAUAUACCUUCUGCAAUAUUUCAACACUUUUUUCCUUUUAAAAAAGGUUUCUCGAAACAUAAGGAUUCCGGGAAAGAAAAUUUUUUUUUUAUUGCGGGUCGGUUUUUUCUGGGGUGUCCCAAUGCCGGGGAAAGC